This 74-nucleotide transfer RNA is filed under the name Butyrivibrio sp. RNAcentral describes it as "tRNA-Glu". It matches the Rfam family "tRNA". From Rfam's summary of the family: Transfer RNA (tRNA) molecules are approximately 80 nucleotides in length. Their secondary structure includes four short double-helical elements and three loops (D, anti-codon, and T loops). The record is from RNAcentral. RNAcentral also lists the same sequence under 1 other name. Lineage: Bacteria; Bacillati; Bacillota; Clostridia; Lachnospirales; Lachnospiraceae.
GGCUUCUUGGUCUAAUUGGUAAGGACGUCAGCCUCUCAAGCUGGAAAUGUCGGGUUCGAGUCCCGCAGGAGCUA